RNAcentral lists this ribosomal RNA (814 nucleotides) under uncultured bacterium. RNAcentral's name for it is "bacterial SSU rRNA". It matches the Rfam family "Bacterial small subunit ribosomal RNA", at positions 8 to 796 of the family's 1533-position model. The record is from RNAcentral.
AGAGUUUGAUCAUGGCUCAGAACGAACGCUGGCGGCGUGGAUAAGACAUGCAAGUCGAACGCUGAUCAUGUUGCAGCAAUGUAGUAUGGUCGGAGUGGCGCAAGGGUGCGUAACACGUGGGUAAUUUGCCGUGAAGACUGGGAUAACUUGCUGAAAGGCGAGCUAAUACCGGAUGUGGUCAGGAGAAGGCAUCUUUUUCUGACUGAAGCUGGGGACCGUAAGGCCUGGCACUUCACGAUAAGCCCGCGGCCUAUCAGCUAGUUGGUGAGGUAACGGCUCACCAAGGCUAAGACGGGUAGCUGGUCUGAGAGGACGACCAGUCACACUGGAACUGAGAGACGGUCCAGACACCUACGGGUGGCAGCAGUCGAGAAUUUUUCUCAAUGGGCGAAAGCCUGAAGGAGCGACGCCGCGUGGGGGAUGAAUGGCUUCGGCCCGUAAACCCCUGUCAUUUGCGAACAAAUUCCAUUAUUUAAAAGAUGAUGGAUUGAUUGUAGCGAAAGAGGAAGGGACGGCUAACUCUGUGCCAGCAGCCGCGGUAAUACAGAGGUCCCAAGCGUUGUUCGGAUUCACUGGGCGUAAAGGGUGCGUAGGUGGUGAGGUAAGUCGGAUGUGAAAUCUCCAAGCUCAACUUGGAAAUGGCAUUGGAAACUACCUUGCUAGAGGUUUGGAGGGGGGCUGGAAUUCUCGGUGUAGCAGUGAAAUGCGUAGAUAUCGAGAGGAACACCAGUGGCGAAGGCGAGUCCCUGGACAACACCUGACACUGAGGCACGAAAGCUAGGGGAGCAAACAGGAUUAGAUACCCUAGUAGUCC